GACGAACGCUGGCGGCGUGCCUAAUACAUGCAAGUAGAACGCUGAAGCGAGGAGCUUGCUCUUCUUGGAUGAGUUGCGAACGGGUGAGUAACGCGUAGGUAACCUGCCUGUUAGCGGGGGAUAACUAUUGGAAACGAUAGCUAAUACCGCAUAAUAUGUUUUACCGCAUGAUAAUCUAUUGAAAGGUGCAUUUGCAUCACUACCAGAUGGACCUGCGUUGUAUUAGUUUGUUGGUGGGGUAACCGCCCACCAAGGCGACGAUACCUAGCCGGACUGAGUGGGAGGACAGCCACACUGGGACUGAGACACGGCCCAGACUCCUACGGGAAGGAGCAGGAGGGGAUCUUCGGCAAUGGGCGGAAGGCUGACCGGGCAACGCCGCGGGAGUGAAGAAGGGUUUCGGGUCGGAAAGCUCUGUUUUAAGAGAAGAAAGAGUGUGAGAGUGGAAAGUUCACACUGUGACGGUAGCUAACCAGAAAGGGACGGCUAACUACGUG
This 497-nucleotide ribosomal RNA is filed under the name uncultured bacterium. RNAcentral's name for it is "partial 16S ribosomal RNA". It matches the Rfam family "Bacterial small subunit ribosomal RNA", at positions 28 to 507 of the family's 1533-position model. The record is from RNAcentral.